GUUAGGAAUAUUGGACAAUGGGCGCAAGCCUGAUCCAGCCAUGCCGCGUGAACGAUGAAGGCCUUCGGGUUGUAAAGUUCUUUAGCCGAUGAUUAUAAUGACUGUAGUCGGAAAAUAAGCCCCGGCUAACUCCGUGCCAGCAGACGCGGUAAUACGAAGGGGGCGAGCGUUAUUCGGAAUCACUGGGCGUAAAGCGUGCGUAGGCGGUCUCGUAAGUUAGGAGUGAAAGCCAAGGGCUCCACCUUGGAACUGCUCUUAAUACUGCAAGGCUAGAAUCUCGGAGAGGAUAGCGGAAUCUCCAGUGUAGCAGUGAAAUGCGUAGAUAUUGGAAGGAACACCAGUGGCGUAAGCGGCUAUCUGGACGAGUAUUGACGCUGAGGCACGAAAGCGUGGGGAUCAAACAGGAUUAGAUACCCUUGUAGUCC
RNAcentral lists this ribosomal RNA (425 nucleotides) under uncultured bacterium. Its description in RNAcentral is "partial 16S ribosomal RNA". It matches the Rfam family "Bacterial small subunit ribosomal RNA", at positions 354 to 796 of the family's 1533-position model. The record is from RNAcentral.